GAAGGCGGCCUACCUGGAGCUGCCUACCGGUGCUAAUCCCAAGCUCACUGUAUAGAACUCAAAGGGACUGACUUGGGGGAUUCCAAGGAACUGCGAAGAUCUUUUUUGGCUUUUGAUAGUAAAAUUCAUUAUCAAAGAUGACUAGUCAAAGGCGCGGGAGGUUACCAGUGAGAUGCGUAGAGAACCUAUCCAGCAACAUAAGUCUAGGUAUCUCUGGUGAGUUUCCCUUCACUCACCUUUUUUAUACUCUUUACUCCAUCUUUGCUCGGUGCAUACAGCAUCCACCUUGUUACUUAUAUUUCAUAAGAUCCAGUAGAUUUUAGUGGUUAGUUUGCUGCUGAACAAUUGUGUAGUGCUAUCCAUUAAGAAUCAAGCAGAUGUCAGUUGUGAUGAUCAUCUUAUGCUAUUUUAUUUCUAUGCAAAGCCUGAUUUAUGUUCUACAUUUGAGUGGAUCCAACUUUGCUAACACAC
Long non-coding RNA from Triticum aestivum (bread wheat), 471 nucleotides. RefSeq lists it as uncharacterized. The transcript has 3 exons. NCBI's taxonomy places the organism in Eukaryota, Viridiplantae, Streptophyta, Magnoliopsida, Poales, Poaceae. The record is from RefSeq and is a predicted model, not a curated record.